CUCCAGAGCCGCAUGCACAUUCACCCUGCUGAUGUUCUCCUGGAUCUCCGCCUGCGUCAGGCAGUGGGUGUAGAUGUCCCCUCCUUCUGCCGGGACCCACUCCCUGCCGCCGCCCUUCUCCCUCUGAGCCCCCCGCAGCACAUCCUGGUAAGCGGCCGCCAGCGCCGUGCGCAGCCCCCGCAGCAUCGCCCCGGGGUGGAGCAGCGCCUCCAUGGUGCGCCCCACAUCCCCGCGCUCCACUGCCACGUUGAUGGCCAACACCGCCGCGUGCACUGCUGCCUCAUCCAGAGAGAGCUCAUCGGC
This 303-nucleotide long non-coding RNA is filed under the name Gallus gallus (chicken). The record is from RNAcentral. Lineage: Eukaryota; Metazoa; Chordata; Aves; Galliformes; Phasianidae.